Molecule: RNase P RNA, 350 nt
Filed under: Legionella moravica
Lineage: Bacteria; Pseudomonadati; Pseudomonadota; Gammaproteobacteria; Legionellales; Legionellaceae
Description: partial ribonuclease P RNA
Rfam family: Bacterial RNase P class A
About the family: Ribonuclease P (RNase P) is a ubiquitous endoribonuclease, found in archaea, bacteria and eukarya as well as chloroplasts and mitochondria. Its best characterised activity is the generation of mature 5'-ends of tRNAs by cleaving the 5'-leader elements of precursor-tRNAs. Cellular RNase Ps are ribonucleoproteins.
Source: RNAcentral
CGCUCUUUGUUUCGACAAAGGGAGGAAAGUCCGGGCUCCAUAGGGCAGGGUGCCAGGUAACUCCUGGGAGGUGUGAACCUACGGAAAGUGCCACAGAAAAUAUACCGCCCGCUUGUUCUUCUUUUUUAGGCUUGUCCUUCAAGAGUUGGCAACAAGCGGGUAAGGGUGAAAUGGUGCGGUAAGAGCGCACCGCGCGAUUGGCAACAGUCGUGGCAGGGAAAACCCCACCCGGAGCAAGACCAAAUAGGAAUCCAUGUGACUGCAAAGUCAUGUCGUGCGGCCCGCACGGGAUUCGGGUAGGUUGCUUGAGGCAUACGGUGACGUGUGUCCCAGAUGAAUGAUUGUCCGCG